CUGGUAUCUCAAAUUCAGCCUUAAGAAUAUACUCAACGGUCAAACUGUAAGAAAAGAUAGAUUAAGGAGGGCAUAAUCCUUGUUUAAAGUAGAGUGAAAAUUAAUUGCUAUGCAGUCUGAGACACAGAAAGGAACUUAUACCAAACAUUGGGGAACAAUGUCAGGUUCUGGAACAUUGCCAGUCUCUGAAAUUCCACUCUUCUAAAAGUUAAUGCAAAGGCUGUCUGCAAUGAUCACCCUCCAGGCCCUGUCUGAUACAGCACGGACUUGCAGGGUCUCACUGAAAAUGUCAUCCCGAGUCCUCUUCCUUCUCCUCCUUAUCUGGUUCAGGCAUUCCACAGAUGGUGAUGAUUUUAGCUGAUCUCACUCCUGAGGGUAACAAAGGCACAGAGAGAACAGCUGCUGCUGGUGUCCUGAAGCCACCCAGGCCUGUAUGCUGCUAGCCUGUGUACUGCAAUGGUGCCUGCCAAAGUUGUUGUUCACUAGAGCAGGAGAGUGUCCUACCGCCAAGGAAGAAAUAAGGCUGCCAUCCCUAGAAACCUCUGGGAGAGGAUUGCAGAGAACCUCCAUGAAAGUUUCAUUGAGACCUCUCAGGAGGAUUCAAGGGACAUCCCUGUGCACAUAAACUAACUGCUCUGCAUG
Long non-coding RNA from Mauremys mutica (yellowpond turtle), 642 nucleotides. RefSeq lists it as uncharacterized. The transcript is spliced from 4 exons. The record is from RefSeq and is a predicted model, not a curated record. Lineage: Eukaryota; Metazoa; Chordata; Testudines; Geoemydidae.